UUAAGCGACUAAGCGUACACGGUGGAUGCCCUGGCAGUCAGAGGCGAUGAAGGACGUGCUAAUCUGCGAAAAGCGUCGGUAAGGUGAUAUGAACCGUUAUAACCGGCGAUGUCCGAAUGGGGAAACCCAGUGUGAUUCGUCACACUAUCGUUAACUGAAUACAUAGGUUAACGAGGCGAACCGGGGGAACUGAAACAUCUAAGUACCCCGAGGAAAAGAAAUCAACCGAGAUUCCCCCAGUAGCGGCGAGCGAACGGGGAGCAGCCCAGAGUCUGAAUCAGCUUGUGUGUUAGUGGAACGGUCUGGAAAGUCCGACGGUACAGGGUGAUAGUCCCGUACACCAAAAUGCACAGGCUGUGAACUCGAAGAGUAGGGCGGGACACGUGGUAUCCUGUCUGAAUAUGGGGGGACCAUCCUCCAAGGCUAAAUACUCCUGACUGACCGAUAGUGAACCAGUACCGUGAGGGAAAGGCGAAAAGAACCCCGGCGAGGGGAGUGAAAAAGAACCUGAAACCGUGUACGUACAAGCAGUGGGAGCACCUUCGGGUGUGACUGCGUACCUUUUGUAUAAUGGGUCAGCGACUUAUAUUCUGUAGCAAGGUUAACCGUAUAGGGGAGCCGCAGGGAAACCGAGUCUUAACUGGGCGUUAAGUUGCAGGGUAUAGACCCGAAACCCGGUGAUCUAGCCAUGGGCAGGUUGAAGGUUGGGUAACACUAACUGGAGGACCGAACCGACUAAUGUUGAAAAAUUAGCGGAUGACUUGUGGCUGGGGGUGAAAGGCCAAUCAAACCGGGAGAUAGCUGGUUCUCCCCGAAAGCUAUUUAGGUAGCGCCUCGUGAAUUCAUCUUCGGGGGUAGAGCACUGUUUCGGCUAGGGGGUCAUCCCGACUUACCAACCCGAUGCAAACUACGAAUACCGAAGAAUGUUAUCACGGGAGACACACGGCGGGUGCUAACGUCCGUCGUGAAGAGGGAAACAACCCAGACCGCCAGCUAAGGUCCCAAAGUCAUGGUUAAGUGGGAAACGAUGUGGGAAGGCACAGACAGCCAGGAUGUUGGCUUAGAAGCAGCCAUCAUUUAAAGAAAGCGUAAUAGCUCACUGGUCGAGUCGGCCUGCGCGGAAGAUGUAACGGGGCUAAACCAUGCACCGAAGCUGCGGCAGCGACACUAUGUGUUGUUGGGUAGGGGAGCGUUCUGUAAGCCUGCGAAGGUGACCUGUGAGGGUUGCUGGAGGUAUCAGAAGUGCGAAUGCUGACAUAAGUAACGAUAAAGCGGGUGAAAAGCCCGCUCGCCGGAAGACCAAGGGUUCCUGUCCAACGUUAAUCGGGGCAGGGUGAGUCGACCCCUAAGGCGAGGCCGAAAGGCGUAGUCGAUGGGAAACAGGUUAAUAUUCCUGUACUUGGUGUUACUGCGAAGGGGGGACGGAGAAGGCUAUGUUAGCCGGGCGACGGUUGUCCCGGUUUAAGCAUGUAGGCUGGUUAUCCAGGCAAAUCCGGAUAAUCAAGGCUGAGGUGUGAUGACGAGGCACUACGGUGCUGAAGUAACAAAUGCCCUGCUUCCAGGAAAAGCCUCUAAGCAUCAGGUAACAUUAAAUCGUACCCCAAACCGACACAGGUGGUCAGGUAGAGAAUACCAAGGCGCUUGAGAGAACUCGGGUGAAGGAACUAGGCAAAAUGGUGCCGUAACUUCGGGAGAAGGCACGCUGGUGUGUAGGUGAAGUCCCUGCGGAUGGAGCUGAGACCAGUCGAAGAUACCAGCUGGCUGCAACUGUUUAUUAAAAACACAGCACUGUGCAAACACGAAAGUGGACGUAUACGGUGUGACGCCUGCCCGGUGCCGGAAGGUUAAUUGAUGGGGUUAUCCGUAAGGAGAAGCUCUUGAUCGAAGCCCCGGUAAACGGCGGCCGUAACUAUAACGGUCCUAAGGUAGCGAAAUUCCUUGUCGGGUAAGUUCCGACCUGCACGAAUGGCGUAAUGAUGGCCAGGCUGUCUCCACCCGAGACUCAGUGAAAUUGAACUCGCUGUGAAGAUGCAGUGUACCCGCGGCAAGACGGAAAGACCCCGUGAACCUUUACUAUAGCUUGACACUGAACAUUGAGCCUUGAUGUGUAGGAUAGGUGGGAGGCUUUGAAGCGUGGACGCCAGUCUGCGUGGAGCCAACCUUGAAAUACCACCCUUUAAUGUUUGAUGUUCUAACGUUGGCCCCUUACCGGGGUUGCGGACAGUGUCUGGUGGGUAGUUUGACUGGGGCGGUCUCCUCCCAAAGCGUAACGGAGGAGCACGAAGGUUAGCUAAUCCUGGUCGGACAUCAGGAGGUUAGUGCAAUGGCAUAAGCUAGCUUGACUGCGAGCGUGACGGCGCGAGCAGGUGCGAAAGCAGGUCAUAGUGAUCCGGUGGUUCUGAAUGGAAGGGCCAUCGCUCAACGGAUAAAAGGUACUCCGGGGAUAACAGGCUGAUACCGCCCAAGAGUUCAUAUCGACGGCGGUGUUUGGCACCUCGAUGUCGGCUCAUCACAUCCUGGGGCUGAAGUAGGUCCCAAGGGUAUGGCUGUUCGCCAUUUAAAGUGGUACGCGAGCUGGGUUUAGAACGUCGUGAGACAGUUCGGUCCCUAUCUGCCGUGGGCGCUGGAGAAUUGAGGGGGGCUGCUCCUAGUACGAGAGGACCGGAGUGGACGCAUCACUGGUGUUCGGGUUGUCAUGCCAAUGGCACUGCCCGGUAGCUAAAUGCGGAAGAGAUAAGUGCUGAAAGCAUCUAAGCACGAAACUUGCCCCGAGAUGAGUUCUCCCUGAGACUUUAAGUCUCCUGAAGGAACGUUGAAGACGACGACGUUGAUAGGCCGGGUGUGUAAGCGCAGCGAUGCGUUGAGCUAACCGGUACUAAUGAACCGUGAGGCUUAACCUU
RNAcentral lists this ribosomal RNA (2900 nucleotides) under Klebsiella pneumoniae. RNAcentral describes it as "bacterial LSU rRNA". It matches the Rfam family "Bacterial large subunit ribosomal RNA". Lineage: Bacteria; Pseudomonadati; Pseudomonadota; Gammaproteobacteria; Enterobacterales; Enterobacteriaceae. The record is from RNAcentral.